This 253-nucleotide ribosomal RNA is filed under the name uncultured bacterium. RNAcentral's name for it is "partial 16S ribosomal RNA". It matches the Rfam family "Bacterial small subunit ribosomal RNA", at positions 524 to 776 of the family's 1533-position model. The record is from RNAcentral.
UACGUAGGGUGCAAGCGUUAAUCGGAAUUACUGGGCGUAAAGCGUGCGCAGGCGGUUAUGUAAGACAGGUGUGAAAUCCCCGGGCUUAACCUGGGAACUGCAUUUGUGACUGCAUAGCUAGAGUACGGUAGAGGGGGAUGGGAUUCCGCGUGUAGCAGUGAAAUGCGUAGAUAUGCGGAGGAACACCGAUGGCGAAGGCAAUCCCCUGGACCUGUACUGACGCUCAUGCACGAAAGCGUGGGGAGCAAAAAGG